AAAGUACUCCCUCCGUCCCAAAAUUCUUGUCUUAGAUUUUUCUAGAUACGGAUGUAUCAAGUCACAUUUUAGUAUUAGAUACAUCCGUUUCUAGACAAAUCUAAGACAAGAAAUUUGGGACAGAGGGGGUAGUUG
This is a non-coding RNA of Triticum aestivum (bread wheat), 135 nucleotides long. The record is from Rfam. NCBI's taxonomy places the organism in Eukaryota, Viridiplantae, Streptophyta, Magnoliopsida, Poales, Poaceae.